CCUACGGGGGGCUGCAGUCGAGGAUUUUUGGCAAUGAGCGCAAGCUUGACCAAGCGAUGCCGCGUGCGGGAUGAAGGCCUUCGGGUUGUAAACCGCUGUCAGUGUGGAGGAAAGGUCGGUGUAGAGCCGAACUUGACUAAUACGCAGAGGAAGUGAGGGCUAAACUCGUGCCAGCAGCCGCGGUAAGACGAGUCUCACGAACGUUAUUCGGAAUUACUGGGCUUAAAGGGUGCGUAGGCGGUGGAGUAAGUCGGAUGUGAAAUACCUUAGCUUAA
RNAcentral lists this ribosomal RNA (275 nucleotides) under uncultured bacterium. RNAcentral's name for it is "partial 16S ribosomal RNA". It matches the Rfam family "Bacterial small subunit ribosomal RNA", at positions 338 to 612 of the family's 1533-position model. The record is from RNAcentral.